This 605-nucleotide ribosomal RNA is filed under the name uncultured bacterium. RNAcentral's name for it is "bacterial SSU rRNA". It matches the Rfam family "Bacterial small subunit ribosomal RNA", at positions 241 to 842 of the family's 1533-position model. The record is from RNAcentral.
UUAGCUAGUCGGCGGGGUAACGGCCCACCGAGGCGACGAUGCGUAGGGGUUCUGAGAGGAAGGUCCCCCACACUGGUACUGAGACACGGACCAGACUCCUACGGGAGGCAGCAGUGAGGAAUAUUGGUCAAUGGGCGCGAGCCUGAACCAGCCAAGUCGCGUGAGGGAUGACGGUCCUACGGAUUGUAAACCUCUUUUGCCGGGGAGCAAGCGUGCGUUCGUGAACGCGCGUCGAGAGUACCCGGAGAAAAAGCAUCGGCUAACUCCGUGCCAGCAGCCGCGGUAAUACGGAGGAUGCGAGCGUUAUCCGGAUUUAUUGGGUUUAAAGGGUGCGUAGGCGGGAUGCCAAGUCAGCGGUAAAAAUGCGGUGCUCAACGCCGUCGAGCCGUUGAAACUGGCGUUCUUGAGUGGGCGAGAAGUAUGCGGAAUGCGUGGUGUAGCGGUGAAAUGCAUAGAUAUCACGCAGAACUCCGAUUGCGAAGGCAGCAUACCGGCGCCCUACUGACGCUGAGGCACGAAAGCGUGGGUAUCGAACAGGAUUAGAUACCCUGGUAGUCCACGCAGUAAACGAUGAAUGCUAACUGUCCGGCUCGAAUGAGCGCUGG